UUCGUUCUUCCCUUGCAUUUCGGCUGCAUGUCAUAUUUCAUGUGACUGUCUACCUGGCCUCCCUUGCCUGGACCACAUACGUGAGGCUCAACGUUCGAGGAAUUUGUCAUGCUGCAACAGACGGUGGGGCAGCACCAUUGCCGUAUCAGGAGGCAACAGUUUCCUCAAUUCCGUGGAGGAAUCAUGGAGUGAAACCUAGCUCCCAACAAACGUGGCCAGCAGAUCACUGACGAGGAAGAGGAGGCUCAAGUAACACUCCUCAACGAAGCUUGGCGGGCUCAGCUGCUGAGGCCUGUGGAGCCCUGGACUGGGAACCUCACCGACAUGCUUCUCCAACCUCUUUCCUUUUACAAUAAAUAAUUCUCAGUUAAUA
Molecule: long non-coding RNA, 373 nt
Filed under: Rhipicephalus sanguineus (brown dog tick)
Lineage: Eukaryota; Metazoa; Arthropoda; Arachnida; Ixodida; Ixodidae
Description: uncharacterized LOC119384095
Source: RNAcentral